CCCACAUGCCGUAUUUCCGAUGUAAACCACGAUAGUGCGCCAAUGGCCUGACCACUCCUUUGUUACCUUGCCCGGCAACUGCGACUUCCGUUUUAGUUAUCUAUAAGACUUCGUUGCGUGCAUACCGCUGUUUAAGUGUUUUUCGAAUUGAUGAACCUUCAUCGAUAUUGAGAACUUCAGUUGGAAUGGCGAUGAAUCUGAAACCAAACGUAGACUGUUCCACUUGUCUGAAUCACAAUAAUGGCGUAUUUUCUUCCUCUGAGAGCAGUAAUAAAGUCACCUAAAUUUAGAGAAAGAAU
Molecule: unclassified non-coding RNA, 299 nt
Filed under: Diabrotica virgifera virgifera (western corn rootworm)
Lineage: Eukaryota; Metazoa; Arthropoda; Insecta; Coleoptera; Chrysomelidae
Description: sKI family transcriptional corepressor 1 homolog-B
Source: RNAcentral